Molecule: long non-coding RNA, 404 nt
Organism: Mercenaria mercenaria
Lineage: Eukaryota; Metazoa; Mollusca; Bivalvia; Venerida; Veneridae
Exons: 3
Source: RefSeq, a predicted model, not a curated record
GGUAUUCCCAACCAGUGGAGUAACUGAAGUUGAUAUACUUAAGGUUCGAUGUGUGCAUAUCAUAUUUAGUGAGGCUCUUUCUGAUGUCACUGUGGAACUAUGGGGACCUGACGUGACAUCUGAGCACAUUGAAGCUUCAGCAUUAGUUAUCAGGGGAAAAACAGAAGUUCCAGUAACAACUUCAUCUACAAGUACAACGUCAACAAGUACAACAACAACAAGCACAACAUCAACUGUUACUUCUCCGUCCUCAUCAACAUCAACAACGUCAACAACCACAGCUUCGUACACGAAUGCGUCGACAUCCUCUUCCAGUGCAGUAACGACAACUACAACAAGUACCGAACAAAUUUCGGAAUCGCCCUGCAUUUGUCCUUGUAAUAUUACACAAUUAAAUCUCACGG